GGAGAGAUGGCUCAGUGGUUAAGAGCACUGACUGCUCUUCCAGAGGUCCUGAGUUCAAAUCCCAGUAACCACG
RNAcentral lists this transfer RNA (73 nucleotides) under Mus musculus (house mouse). RNAcentral's name for it is "tRNA-Ser". The record is from RNAcentral. Lineage: Eukaryota; Metazoa; Chordata; Mammalia; Rodentia; Muridae.